RNAcentral lists this long non-coding RNA (408 nucleotides) under Apteryx haastii (Great spotted kiwi). RNAcentral's name for it is "lncRNA (ENSAHAG00000000082.1)". The record is from RNAcentral. Lineage: Eukaryota; Metazoa; Chordata; Aves; Apterygiformes; Apterygidae.
AUGUGUGUGCCCUGCUCAAAUGCAGAACAGCCUCCAUGCAGGUGGAAGUUUCAGUCUGGUGAUUUUUUGAUCAUCUGCUAUCUCAGAUCCCUGCAAGACACCACUGUUUAUCAAGAUCAAGUUUUGCUACCAUCUCUUUCUGAUUCUCACUGCAUGUACCCCACAGGAGAGAGAACCUCAGCGUCUGAUGCUGUGCUGUCCAAAGACUUCAAGAUAUUUAAGAGCUUUAUUCCUGAAAGUACUGUGCAUCUGAAACUCCCUUCAGAAGUUCCUAGGCUACAUCCACAGAGACGAGCUGUAGCUAACAGCGAGAAAGAAAUGUGCAUCUGCACUGCCUUCCUAAUACUGGUUUUAAAGCUCAUUUACAAGAGGAGGUAUUUUGUCCAGUGUUAUGCACAGCCCGUCUGA